Trachymyrmex septentrionalis is the source of this 372-nucleotide long non-coding RNA. RefSeq lists it as uncharacterized. The record is from RefSeq and is a predicted model, not a curated record. The transcript is spliced from 3 exons. Lineage: Eukaryota; Metazoa; Arthropoda; Insecta; Hymenoptera; Formicidae.
AUAUAUAUAUAUAUUUGUACAUACAUAAUCAAUGUCAAACAGAAACUUAUUUGGUGGAAACGUAUUUUGAAGUAUAGUAUCAUUUUUUAAAGGUUCCUGAAGAAUACAAAUUUAAAUUCAGGAAUGUAAUACGACCAGGUUGACGAUUGAAAGUUAAAAGUGUAUUCAAAAAUCCAAAUUUUCAUUGAACACAAACAGGAUACACAAUGUAUUAGGAGCAUGUUUGCAUAGAAUAAUUAUCCGCUUAUACUUGAGUACUUUGGGCAAGUGUUUAAUGCAAGCACAUAAUGUCAAUAAAUUCGCCAAAUGGUGCAAAAUUAUUUGUAUUGCCGUACAAUUAUAAAAACUGGAAAUGUUUAAUUUCUUCCAUUU